Molecule: ribosomal RNA, 506 nt
Filed under: uncultured Prevotella sp.
Lineage: Bacteria; Pseudomonadati; Bacteroidota; Bacteroidia; Bacteroidales; Prevotellaceae
Description: bacterial SSU rRNA
Rfam family: Bacterial small subunit ribosomal RNA
Source: RNAcentral
AUACGGAAGGUCCAGGCGUUAUCCGGAUUUAUUGGGUUUAAAGGGAGCGUAGGCCGUCUGUUAAGCGUGUUGUGAAAUGUAGAUGCUCAACAUCUGAGUUGCAGCGCGAACUGGCAGACUUGAGUGUGCGCAACGUAGGCGGAAUUCGUGGUGUAGCGGUGAAAUGCUUAGAUAUCACGAAGAACUCCGAUUGCGAAGGCAGCUUACGGGAGCACAACUGACGCUGAAGCUCGAAAGUGCGGGUAUCGAACAGGAUUAGAUACCCUGGUAGUCCGCACGGUAAACGAUGGAUGCCCGCUGUUGACCCACCUGGGCCAGCGGCCAAGCGAAAGCAUUAAGCAUCCCACCUGGGGAGUACGCUGGCAACGGUGAAACUCAAAGGAAUUGACGGGGCCCACACAAGCGGUGGAGUAUGUGGUUUAAUUCGAUGCAACGCGAAGAACCUUACCAGGGUUUGACAUCCUGAGAACCUCUUAGAAAUUUGAGGGUGCCUUCGGGAAUUCAGU